ACACGUGAGUAACCUGCCCUUGACUCUGGGAUAAGCCUGGGAAACUGGGUCUAAUACCGGAUAUGACCUUCCAUCGCAUGGUGGUUGGUGGAAAGCUUUUGUGGUUUUGGAUGGACUCGCGGCCUAUCAGCUUGUUGGUGGGGUAAUGGCCUACCAAGGCGACGACGGGUAGCCGGCCUGAGAGGGUGACCGGCCACACUGGGACUGAGACACGGCCCAGACUCCUACGGGAGGCAGCAGUGGGGAAUAUUGCACAAUGGGCGCAAGCCUGAUGCAGCGACGCCGCGUGAGGGAUGACGGCCUUCGGGUUGUAAACCUCUUUCAGUAGGGAAGAAGCGAAAGUGACGGUACCUGCAGAAGAAGCGCCGGCUAACUACGUGCCAGCAGCCGCGGUAAUACGUAGGGCGCAAGCGUUAUCCGGAAUUAUUGGGCGUAAAGAGCUCGUAGGCGGUUUGUCGCGUCUGCCGUGAAAGUCCGGGGCUCAACUCCGGAUCUGCGGUGGGUACGGGCAGACUAGAGUGAUGUAGGGGAGACUGGAAUUCCUGGUGUAGCGGUGAAAUGCGCAGAUAUCAGGAGGAACACCGAUGGCGAAGGCAGGUCUCUGGGCAUUAACUGACGCUGAGGAGCGAAAGCAUGGGGAGCGAACAGGAUUAGAUACCCUGGUAGUCCAUGCCGUAAACGUUGGGCACUAGGUGUGGGGGACAUUCCACGUUUUCCGCGCCGUAGCUAACGCAUUAAGUGCCCCGCCUGGGGAGUACGGCCGCAAGGCUAAAACUCAAAGGAAUUGACGGGGGCCCGCACAAGCGGCGGAGCAUGCGGAUUAAUUCGAUGCAACGCGAAGAACCUUACCAAGGCUUGACAUGGACCGGACCGCCGCAGAAAUGUGGUUUCCCCUUUGGGGCCGGUUUACAGGUGGUGCAUGGUUGUCGUCAGCUCGUGUCGUGAGAUGUUGGGUUAAGUCCCGCAACGAGCGCAACCCUCGUUCUAUGUUGCCAGCGGUUCGGCCGGGGACUCAUAGGAGACUGCCGGGGUCAACUCGGAGGAAGGUGGGGACGACGUCAAAUCAUCAUGCCCCUUAUGUCUUGGGCUUCACGCAUGCUACAAUGGCCGGUACAAAGGGUUGCGAUACUGUGAGGUGGAGCUAAUCCCAAAAAGCCGGUCUCAGUUCGGAUUGGGGUCUGCAACUCGACCCCAUGAAGUCGGAGUCGCUAGUAAUCGCAGAUCAGCAACGCUGCGGUGAAUACGUUCCCGGGCCUUGUACACACCGCCCGUCAAGUCACGAAAGUUGGUAACACCCGAAGCCGGUGGCCUAACCCC
RNAcentral lists this ribosomal RNA (1317 nucleotides) under bacterium. Its description in RNAcentral is "bacterial SSU rRNA". It matches the Rfam family "Bacterial small subunit ribosomal RNA", at positions 113 to 1442 of the family's 1533-position model. The record is from RNAcentral.